This 490-nucleotide ribosomal RNA is filed under the name uncultured bacterium. Its description in RNAcentral is "partial 16S ribosomal RNA". It matches the Rfam family "Bacterial small subunit ribosomal RNA", at positions 30 to 507 of the family's 1533-position model. The record is from RNAcentral.
AUUGAACGCUGGCGGCAGGCCUAACACAUGCAAGUCGAAUGGUAACAGGAAACAGCUUGCUGUUUCGCUGACGAGUGGCGGACGGGUGAGUAAUGUCUGGGAAACUGCCUGAUGGAGGGGGAUAACUACUGGAAACGGUAGCUAAUACCGCAUAACGUCGCAAGACCAAAGAGGGGGACCUUCGGGCCUCUUUCCAUCAGAUGUGCCCAGAUGGGAUUCGCUAGUAGGUGGGGUAACGUCUCACCUAGGCGACGAUCCCUAGCUGGUCUGAGAGGAUGACCAGCCACCCGGGAACUUGAACACGGUCAAGACGCCUACGGGAGGCAGCAGGGGGGAAUAUUGCACAAUGGGCGCAAGCCUGAUGCAGCCAUGCCGCGUGUAUGAAGAAGGCCUUCGGGUUGUAAAGUACUUUCAGCGGGGAGGAAGGGAGUAAAGUUAAUACCUUUGCUCAUUGACGUUACCCGCAGAAGAAGCACCGGCUAACUCCGUG